UCAUAACUUAAUUAAAUAUACCCAUCCUUUAAGACUUAUUCAAUAAGGGUACAGCCUUAUUGAAAAAGGAUACAACCUAAAACUCAGGUUAAUGAUUUCUUCUUCUAAGAGGAGCUAGUUGGCUUAAGAGCAGCCACCUUUCUAAUAGCGUCAAAGCUUUCUCCUUCUUAUUCUCUAAUACUUAUUUCCCAUCAGAACCCGAUCAUAUUAUUGAGUCAUCCUAUACUUUUAUAGAAGUGUUUAUGUUAGAACUAGUAACACAGAAUUAUUUCUCUCUAUGUAAGUGUAAAUCAGAUUGAAUACGUCACUGAUACUUACUCAGUAAUGAAAACAAUGUAGCAACUUCACUAGAAAAUCCUACUAUCUUUUCUGUUAACCUAACACAAGAACAUAAGAAAAAGAUUAAAAGACUAAGAAGGAACUCGGCAAAUAAGGAUCCCGCCUGUUUACCAAAAACAUCGCCUCUUGAAUAAUAUACUAGGUACUGCCUGCCCAGUGACUAUAUGUUUAACGGCCGUGGUAUUUUGACCACGCAAAGGUAGCGUAAUCACUUGUUUUUUAAAUAAAGACUUGUAUGAAUGGCUUGACGAGGAUCCAACUGGCUCCUCUGUCCAAUCAGUGAAACUGAUCCCCUCGUGCAGAAACGAGGAUUAACUCAUAAGACGAGAAGACCCUAUGGAGCUUUAAACUUAUAUCAACAAUUUUACCCCCUUUUCCUCUAACUGAACUAACAUUUAACUAAAUCUGCUUGAUUAAAGUUUUGGGUUGGGACGACCAUGGAGAAAAAAAAAUCCUCCCUGAUGACACCUAACUAAGAGCCUCAGCUCUAAGUAAUAAGAUACUUAACUUCUAUUGACCCAUUUUAUGAUCAACGAACCAAGUUACCCUAGGGAUAACAGCGCAAUCCAUUUCAAGAGUCCUUAUCGACAAAUGGGUUUACGACCUCGAUGUUGGAUCAGGGCACCCAAGUGGUGCAGCCGCUACUAAAGGUUCGUUUGUUCAACGAUUAA
This 1010-nucleotide ribosomal RNA is filed under the name Megophrys hansi. RNAcentral's name for it is "partial 16S ribosomal RNA". It matches the Rfam family "Bacterial large subunit ribosomal RNA", at positions 943 to 2591 of the family's 2925-position model. Lineage: Eukaryota; Metazoa; Chordata; Amphibia; Anura; Megophryidae. The record is from RNAcentral.